Molecule: ribosomal RNA, 468 nt
Filed under: uncultured bacterium
Lineage: Bacteria
Description: partial 16S ribosomal RNA
Rfam family: Bacterial small subunit ribosomal RNA
Source: RNAcentral
GACGAACGCUGGCGGCGUGCUUAACACAUGCAAGUCGAACGGAAAGGCCCUGCUUUUGUGGGGUGCUCGAGUGGCGAACGGGUGAGUAACACGUGAGUAACCUGCCCUUGACUUUGGGAUAACUUCAGGAAACUGGGGCUAAUACCGGAUAGGAGCUCCUGCUGCAUGGUGGGGGUUGGAAAGUUUCGGCGGUUGGGGAUGGACUCGCGGCUUAUCAGCUUGUUGGUGGGGUAGUGGCUUACCAAGGCUUUGACGGGUAGCCGGCCUGGGAGGGUGAACGGGCACCAUGGGGCUGCGGGACGGCCCAGAAUCCUACCGGACGCAAGCGGCGGGAAUCUUGCGGAAUGGGGCGGAGCCUGAUGCAGCAACCCCCGGUUCGGGAAGCCCUGCUUUGGGUUUGGAACCGAUUUCGCCGUGGCCGUAGCCUUAGUGACGGUAAUGGGUAAAAAAGCCACGGCUAACUACGUG